GAAUUCAACUCCUACGGGAGGCAGCAGUGGGGAAUUUUGGACAAUGGGCGCGAGCCUGAUCCAGCAAUGCCGCGUGCAGGAUGAAGGCCUUCGGGUUGUAAACUGCUUUUGUACGGAACGAAACGGCCCUUUCUAAUAAAGAGGGCUAAUGACGGUACCGUAAGAAUAAGCACCGGCUAACUACGUGCCAGCAGCCGCGGUAAUACGUAGGGUGCGAGCGUUAAUCGGAAUUACUGGGCGUAAAGCGUGCGCAGGCGGUUAUGUAAGACAGAUGUGAAAUCCCCGGGCUCAACCUGGGACCUGCAUUUGUGACUGCAUAGCUAGAGUACGGUAGAGGGGGAUGGAAUUCCGCGUGUAGCAGUGAAAUGCGUAGAUAUGCGGAGGAACACCGAUGGCGAAGGCAAUCCCCCGGACCUGUACUGACGCUCAUGCACGAAAGCGUGGGGAGCAAACAGGAUUAGAUACCCGUGUAGUCCAGGCGUU
Molecule: ribosomal RNA, 483 nt
Filed under: uncultured bacterium
Lineage: Bacteria
Description: bacterial SSU rRNA
Rfam family: Bacterial small subunit ribosomal RNA
Source: RNAcentral